AUGUCUUCUCAUUCUUCAAAUUUGUCCUCUCUUAAAUCACUUGAUUUUCCUGUUCAUGUACUCACUGCUGAUGGUACUCCUCUUUCUGUUGCUAGUCGAGGCAAUCUUACCACACCUUCUUACUCUAUUCCUGAUGUUGCUCAUGUUCCUCGACUUAUCAUGAAUCUUUUUUCUGCCGGUCAACUUACUGAUUCUGGUUGUCGCGUCAUCCUUGACGUUGACUCUUGUUCUGUUCAGGAUUGUCGAACGCACACUUUGGUUGGGGCUGGCCCUCGCCGCCGUGACUCUCAGGGUCUUUGGGAGCUAGACUGGCUUCAUGUUCCUUUUGCUGCCACCACUAUCGCCAGUCCCAUCCGCUUCUGUCACUUCAGCUACCGGCUCCUUCCAGCAGUGGCAUCAUCGACUUGGUCAUCUUUGUGGGUCUCGCUUGUCAUCAUUAGUUCGUCGAGGUCUUCUGGGGUCUGUCUCAGGAGAUGUCUCUUUAGAGUGUUAGGGCUGUAG
Molecule: ribosomal RNA, 501 nt
Filed under: Triticum aestivum (bread wheat)
Lineage: Eukaryota; Viridiplantae; Streptophyta; Magnoliopsida; Poales; Poaceae
Description: partial small subunit ribosomal RNA
Source: RNAcentral